UGAGGAAUAUUGGUCAAUGGGCGAGAGCCUGAACCAGCCAAGUCGCGUGAAGGAUGACUGUCUUAUGGAUUGUAAACUUCUUUUAUACGGGAAUAACAAGAGCCACGUGUGGCUCCCUGCAUGUACCGUAUGAAUAAGCAUCGGCUAACUCCGUGCCAGCAGCCGCGGUAAUACGGAGGAUGCGAGCGUUAUCCGGAUUUAUUGGGUUUAAAGGGUGCGUAGGCGGCCUGUUAAGUCAGCGGUGAAAUCUAGGAGCUUAACUCCUAAAUUGCCAUUGAUACUGGCGGGCUUGAGUGUAGAUGAGGUAGGCGGAAUGCGUGGUGUAGCGGUGGAAUGCAUAGAUAUCACGCAGAACUCCGAUUGCGAAGGCAGCUUACUAAGGUACAACUGACGCUGAAGCACGAAAGCGUGGGUAUCAAACAGGAUUAGAUACCCUGGUAGUCCACGCAGUAAACGAUGAUAACUGGGCGUAUGCGAUAUACAGUAUGCUCCUAAGCGAAAGCGUUAAGUUAUCCACCUGGGGAGUACGCCGGGCAACGGUG
RNAcentral lists this ribosomal RNA (542 nucleotides) under uncultured bacterium. RNAcentral describes it as "bacterial SSU rRNA". It matches the Rfam family "Bacterial small subunit ribosomal RNA", at positions 355 to 896 of the family's 1533-position model. The record is from RNAcentral.